CUCUUCGUAUCCCAGGAUGCAGUACUGGAAUCUCCCUUCACUCUUCUCCAAAAAGGUAUUUCUAGAAUUUUUCCUGAUAUCCUAUUGGCUUGAAACAAUUCCUUAUUGUCUGCCCAUUACAAAUUUAUUCUCCUGUCCUAUUAAUCUGUCUUUUGGUAUUGUGUUUCUCAGUAGCUUCUACUAUAUCUCACAUCAUCACUGCAAACUCAAUAUCAAUGUUUCCCAUGUCCAUUUUCCAAAAAACAAACACCAAGAAGCGUGGACGAAGAAUUAGGAUCACUCUCAUGAACAUCUUCUAGAGGUCUGAAGCCCCUGAGAUAAAGCGGCAAAGAGGACAAAGUGUGGGAAGAGGACACUGAGCAAAUGGGGCUGCUGUUGCCCUCGAGCCAUCGUGGACAUUGAUUUCCAAUAUGACUCUGAUUUGUGUGUCAGGGACAGAGAGAGACAUGUAAAAAGAG
Non-coding RNA from Pelobates cultripes (western spadefoot toad), 458 nucleotides. The record is from the annotation of a GenBank genome assembly. Lineage: Eukaryota; Metazoa; Chordata; Amphibia; Anura; Pelobatidae.